Molecule: ribosomal RNA, 848 nt
Filed under: Chryseobacterium sp.
Lineage: Bacteria; Pseudomonadati; Bacteroidota; Flavobacteriia; Flavobacteriales; Weeksellaceae
Description: bacterial SSU rRNA
Rfam family: Bacterial small subunit ribosomal RNA
Source: RNAcentral
AUGCAAGCCGAGCGGUAUUUGUCUUUCGGGACAGAGAGAGCGGCGUACGGGUGCGGAACACGUGUGCAACCUGCCUUUAUCUGGGGGAUAGCCUUUCGAAAGGAAGAUUAAUACCCCAUAAUAUAUUGACUGGCAUCAGUUGAUAUUGAAAACUCCGGUGGAUAGAGAUGGGCACGCGCAAGAUUAGAUAGUUGGUGAGGUAACGGCUCACCAAGUCUACGAUCUUUAGGGGGCCUGAGAGGGUGAUCCCCCACACUGGUACUGAGACACGGACCAGACUCCUACGGGAGGCAGCAGUGAGGAAUAUUGGACAAUGGGUGCAAGCCUGAUCCAGCCAUCCCGCGUGAAGGAUGACGGCCCUAUGGGUUGUAAACUUCUUUUGUAUAGGGAUAAACCUAGAUACGUGUAUCUAGCUGAAGGUACUAUACGAAUAAGCACCGGCUAACUCCGUGCCAGCAGCCGCGGUAAUACGGAGGGUGCAAGCGUUAUCCGGAUUUAUUGGGUUUAAAGGGUCCGUAGGCUGAUGUGUAAGUCAGUGGUGAAAUCUCACAGCUUAACUGUGAAACUGCCAUUGAUACUGCAUGUCUUGAGUGUUGUUGAAGUAGCUGGAAUAAGUAGUGUAGCGGUGAAAUGCAUAGAUAUUACUUAGAACACCAAUUGCGAAGGCAGGUUACUAAGCAACAACUGACGCUGAUGGACGAAAGCGUGGGGAGCGAACAGGAUUAGAUACCCUGGUAGUCCACGCCGUAAACGAUGCUAACUCGUUUUUGGAUUUUCGGAUUCAGAGACUAAGCGAAAGUGAUAAGUUAGCCACCUGGGGAGUACGUUCGCAAGAAUGAAACUCAAAG